Long non-coding RNA from Dermochelys coriacea (leatherback sea turtle), 716 nucleotides. RefSeq lists it as uncharacterized. The record is from RefSeq and is a predicted model, not a curated record. The transcript has 2 exons. Lineage: Eukaryota; Metazoa; Chordata; Testudines; Dermochelyidae.
CAGGGCCAGGGGGCAGGCACAGUGGGCAGGGCCGACAAGGGGGUGUAAUGUUAUUGACAUGAACUGGGACCGUAUAGAUCAUUGUUGCAAUCAAGAUCCUGUAGUUGCACCAAAUCUUGUACAAAGGAGGUCGAGGACGGUGUCUAUGGAGAGGUUUCGAGUUGCUGGUUAUGACGAUGCUGUCUGUGUGUGUCUGUGUGUGUGUGUCAUUUGCGUAGGUGACGUUAUGACUGUUACGUGUUUUGAUUCUAAGCAGCCUCAGUGAAGUAUUUGGACAGCUUCUUGAGAAGGGGCUAUUCUCCGAAAGUGCCCAAUCCAGAAACACUUUGUUGACAAUGGACUUUGAGAGACGCCAAUCCACAUCUGAGCUUUCCUGGGAACUCAAACUAACAUUGAGAAUGGAGGGGGGUCCUCCCACGGGCAGAGAAUAUAACAGGCCCUGAAAACCCCUCCCAUCUUGUCUUCUGUCCUGCUUCUCACCCCUGUGGGGGACCUUGCUACAAACUGAAGCUCUGAACAAAGGACUGAAGGACCCAUCCCAGCUGGGGAUGUUCUCCAGAGGCUUGAUUUGAACCUGCAGCUUAUUCCAUCGCUGCUACAAGCCUGAACCAAGACCUUUGCCGUUACUGGAUGGAACCGAUUCCAUUUCACCAGUGCUGGCUCUCACCGAUAUCGGUUUCCUUUGAUCAAUAAACCUUUAGAUUUUAGAUGCUAAA